GAUGAACGCUGGCGGCGUGCCUAAUACAUGCAAGUCGAGCGAACAGACGAGGAGCUUGCUCCUCUGACGUUAGCGGCGGACGGGUGAGUAACACGUGGAUAACCUACCUAUAAGACUGGGAUAACUUCGGGAAACCGGAGCUAAUACCGGAUAAUAUAUUGAACCGCAUGGUUCAAUAGUGAAAGACGGUUUUGCUGUCACUUAUAGAUGGAUCCGCGCCGCAUUAGCUAGUUGGUAAGGUAACGGCUUACCAAGACGACGAUGCGUAGCCGACCUGAGAGGGUGAACGGCCACACUGGAACUGAGACACGGUCCAGAAUCCUACGGGAGGCAGCAGUAGGGAAUCUUCCGCAAUGGGCGAAAGCCUAACGGAGAAACGCCGCGUGAGUGAUGAAGGUCUUCGGAUCGUAAAACUCUGUUAUUAGGGAAGAACGAAUGUGUAAGUAACUAUGCACGUCUUGACGGUACCUAAGCAGAAAGCCACGGCUAACUACGUG
RNAcentral lists this ribosomal RNA (497 nucleotides) under uncultured bacterium. RNAcentral's name for it is "partial 16S ribosomal RNA". It matches the Rfam family "Bacterial small subunit ribosomal RNA", at positions 28 to 507 of the family's 1533-position model. The record is from RNAcentral.